RNAcentral lists this long non-coding RNA (6714 nucleotides) under Ananas comosus (pineapple). RNAcentral describes it as "long non-coding RNA (ACOM_LNC019665)". The record is from RNAcentral. Lineage: Eukaryota; Viridiplantae; Streptophyta; Magnoliopsida; Poales; Bromeliaceae.
UCUACAAAGUAGCCUUUUUUAGGUCAAUUCGAGGUAUUGAAAGUUGAGAUCUAUAUGUCGAAUUGAUUUACGCUUCACUUAGAGGUUCUUCUCUAGUUUUUAUCUAUACUCUAAGCGAAGGAACACCAUAAUCAUGAUGUUCUUCAUGGACGACAUCGUGGAUUCGGCGUGAUCGAAGGCAGUUCGAGGAUUCGGAUCGUGGGCUCGUGGAUUCGAGUGGCGUUCGUGGAUUCGGACGUGUGCGAGGCGUUCAUGGAUUCGAACGUGAGGGCGUGGACAACCUGGAGGAUUGCGCGAGAUUCAUAGAAGGUUAAGAGAGGUCGAGUCCGUGGAGUCGAUAAUCACCUUGUAAUCUUUUCUAUUAGUGAAUUAUUUUUUCGCGUGUUGGUCCCGUGGAUUUUUUACUCCAAGUUAGAGUUUUUCCACGUAAAUCUCGGUGUGAUUUCUAUUUUUCGCAUUUACUUUUAUCGCAUUUAGAUUUGUGAUUUUUGGCCGUUACACGUAUUCACCCCCCUCUAGGUGUUUGAUACAAUCUAGAUAAAUUCUAGGGCUCCUCAUAACUUACAAUUGGUAUCAGAGCGGGAUCCAGAUAUAUUGCUAUCAUGGCUGAAGGCGGUAACAUUAAUCGACCACCACUUUUCGAUGGCACUAAUAAUGCCUAUUGAAAAGUUCGCAUGAGAGCUUUUCUAAUUGCAAUCGAUGAGCGAGUAUAGCAAUCAAUCGAAUUCGAAUGGAAGCAUCCCACCGAAGUUGUCGAUAAUGCUACGUCCCUAAACCGAGAAAUAAGUGGACAAAAGAUGAAAGCGAGUCAUCUUCGUUUAAUGGCAAGAAAAUUAAUGCUUUGUUUAAUGCAUUAUCUCAAACGGAGUUUACUCGUGUUUCAACGUGUGAAACCACCAAAGAGAUUUGGGAUACUCUUCAAGUUACGCAUGAAGGAACUAGUUUGGGGAAGGUCCCAAAAUUACAAAUGUUAACGAGCAAAUUUGACUAAAUUUUUUUGGAAGAAAAUGAGACAUUUACCGAGUACUAUACGCGACUUCAAGAUGUUGUUUAUACAUGCGCGAACUUGGGAGAGAAAAUUCCUGAAUCGAAAGUUGUUAGAAAAAUUCUUCGAACUCUUCCGGAGCGGUUUAGGGCAAAGGUUGCCGCGAUCGAAACUGUUAAGCAUCCGGAUGAGAUGAAAGUCGAAGAGUUAGUAGAUGCUUUGCAAACUUAUGAGAUGACUUUUCCUACUAACCAAUCUUCUUCCAAGUCUUUCUCUAAAAGUACAGGGGUUGCAUUGAAAUCAACUAAGGAGGAGGACGUGGACUCGAGUUCCGAUGGCGACAUAUCAAUUGCGGACUUCGAACAUCAAUUGGUGCUCCUAACAAAGAAGUUUCGUCGGAAUUUUCGGAAGAACAAAUCCAACAAGACUUCAUCUUCGAAGCAAAAAUCUUUUUCUAAAGAAUCUUCAAGUUCAAAAUCUAAGCAUAAGAAACUUGCAAAACCUUCUAAAGAAAAAGAUAAUUUUGAAGGAGAAAUCCAAUGUUACAAAUGUAAAGGCUAUGGCCAUAUUUCAACGGAUUGUCUUUCUAAGAAAACUUAUAAACCGAAGGCUUUGCAAGUAAAAACUUGGGAUGAUUCUACUUCUAGUGAAUCAACCUCAAGUGACGAAGAAAAGAAUGAAAACGUUGCUUUAUUUACUAACACUUCUUUGCCUUCGUCUAAUGUUGUUUGUUUAUCCUCUGUUUUAUCUGACUCUAGUAUUUCUUCUUCCUUGCAUAGGACUUCGAGCGAUAAUGGCGAAAGCGAAGAGGAGUCAAACAACGAGGAUUUAGCGGAAGCAUACAAUCAACUUCUUAUCAAAUCGAAAAAGAUGGCCAAGCAUAAUAAGAAGUUGAGGAGACGCUUAUUGGACCUUGAAGAGGAAAACAACAAUUUGAGGACUACGAACAAAGCUCUUGAGGAGGAAAGGGAAUCAAUAUUGAAAAAUAAUUCGAUCCUCCAAAAGAAGCUAGAUGAAACGAAAUUAACGAUUAAAUAUUAUCAAGAAAAGAUUGGAUUUUUGGAGCAACAAUUCAAGAAAACCUACAUAUCCAAUCAAGUCUUAACCAAUCAAGUUCGUCAACUCAAAUCCGAUUUUCAAAAAUUUUCUUCGGGAUCGAAGAAAUUGGAUCACAUGCUCGGAUUGGGUCAAACGAACAAGUUAGGCCUCGGAUACGAAAGAACUUAUGUUGAGAAGGAUCAAAAGUCGACAUCAAAAGUCUCAACAAAUUCAAAGAAAAAGGUGUGUCAUGGAUGUGGCAUCAAAGGACACAUCAAAAGGAGUUGCCCGAACAAAAAUAAGAAAAAUCAACCGGCAAUUUCUAAACGUCCGUUGGCACUCACUAAUACUCGACUUCCCCCACGGAAUUAAAAGCAAACUCAAUCUAGUCGAGUACCACAAGCAAACCGAAAUUCAAAGCUUCAACGACAAUUUCAACCGAAGUCACAUGCAACGAAACGACCAACGGUGGAUCAAAAGUCUAAACGAAUCGUGCCUAUCGUCGACAAGCCAAGACAACCAACAAUCCGGCAAGUUUGGAUCCGGAAAGAUGAUAUCUUUCCUUGUUCUUCAUCUUAGUUUGUUUUUAUAUAUGUAAUGCUUUGACUGGUAAUGCUUUGAUUGGUGCUUAUUGCAUAUUUUUAUUCAUUACAUUACAUGUUUAAACAAUUUUUUAUGCAUGAAAUUAUUUUUGAAAAUUUGUUUCGAGGAAGAUGAUGGGGAAUUAAAUUUUUGAGAAAGGCGAUGUCUUUAAAAUCAUUAAUUUGGGGAGAUUAUUUUUUAAAAAAAUGCCGUAAUCAAAUUCAUCUUGAGUUAAAUUUAUAUUAAUUAUCGGUUUUACUCCAUUUUUAUUAUUUUGACGAUAAUUUAUUAUAGGAUUUCUUAGUAUAUAUAUUCAUCAAAAUUUUGGAAUCAAAUUUGAUCUCUUGGUGAUUAAUCUAUCUUGGUUGUGUGUGUUGAAUAUGAUGAAUGGAUAUUCGCUAAUAGAUUAAAAUUUGUCAAAAUUACUUUCAAUUGUGAGAUUGUCUAAUUUAGGGGGAGUUUGAAUUAUUUUAAAAAAAAUAAAUGAUGAUUAAAAUAAAAAAAAAAAAAGAUACUUCUAUGAGUAAAAAGAUGUUGAAAGAGUUACAUCCAAAAGGAGUGUGAAAACUACCACCACAUGUAGGAAAGAGCUACCACACCGGUCGUCCUGUAAGUGUGUGAAGCUACCACCUGAAAAUUAAUUGAUUAACCGAAAAGGUUGAAAAAAAAAUUGAAUAUUUUAGAUUUUUCGAAGUUAUAAGGUGGUAGGAUGAAAAGAUACUCAAAGAGCCACCUCCGGUAUUUUAUUAGUUAAAUCUCUAUUUUGAUCGUUUUACGACAAAUUGGUGUCAAUUUUGCCGAAUUUUUAUAAGUCAAUUUUCAUGAACCGUUACAUCUUGAUGAUUUUGAAUCAUUAGAUUAUUUUUUAUAACAUAAUUUUGAUGUUUAGAUGAAUUAAGAAAUCUUAUAAUAUUUUAUAUUCAUUCUAAUGAUUUUGGGAGUACAAUCCUUAAUUAUUAUAAAAUUAAUUUAAUUUUGAAUCAUAUUUUAGGCAAAAUUUUUGAAUUCUGGCAACUGGUACCGGUACUAAAUCCCGCGUACCGGUACCAGCACUGUAGACAGUGGUUUUAUAAACCGGUUACGGGUUUUAUUCUUCCCCAAAUCAAAACGAAAUUGCUCGCUUUCUCUUUCUAAAGUUCCCCACACUCUCCUACUCCAGAUCCACGUGAUUCCUUCAAAGAUUUGUAAGUAUUUUCUUCAGAUUUAAUCAUUUACUCGCGUUCUUGCUGUUUUUCGAAUGAACUCCGAGACGAAGAUCGUUAUCUGUUUUGAACCAUUUUUCUUGCAAUUUUUUGCUGUGAUUCAGUUUAUAUGCAUGUAUUCUCGCUUCUAGAACAUUUAGAUCAUGAUUUAAUGUGUUAUUUUUUGCUGAUCUAUGAUCUGUAACUUGAUAUCUAUGGAAUUUCGGGAUUACAUGUUGAAUGCCACUUUUAAUGAUAAAUCUUGCUUGAAUUAGUUAAAAAUAGUGUUAUUAUUCAUUCUAAUAUUAUUAGAAUUUUUUUCGCUAUUUUUACAGAUUUUUAUUGCAAAUUUGUUCAUUCAAGGGUUCUUUUUGUAUAGGAAAAAUGGCAUUUUCGCUGAUUAUUGUUCUGAUGGUGCUUAUGGCCACUAGGAGUGGUCGUGGUCGCGGUCACGGUAGAGGCCGUCGUGGGGCUUCUAAGAGGACUCGUAUUGCAAACGAGUCGUCUGAUUCAGAUUCGGAUUAUCGAGCGAGCUCCCACGAGGAGGCGGAAGAAACGACUGUUCGCACUGAUAAAGGCAAAGGGAUGGCACCGGAAACAUCACGCAAGAAAAAGGGUGCUCGUUCUCCUCCUAGGCGAAGCACAGGUGGCCCUGUAAUACGAGAAGGUGGAGCUCGUGAGCAUGAAAGUCGCUCAAAGCAUGCCGCAGAGGUUCAGACGGAGCGGCGGAAGGCAUUCACGAGCAAAUCGUGCUUAGCGGAGCGUUAUGUGAAGCCUGAGUAGCACCUUUUGUCCUUGAUUAUUUGUUACAACGUUCAACCGACUAUUGGGACUAAAAGGAUUCGCUGGGAUCGGCUUGUACUUCUAUAUCUACUUAGCCACCCCAAGCAUGCAGAUGGUUUAAAUAUCAACAUUCCAUUUCUUAUGUGGCAAAGAAUGGUGCACGUGAUCCAAUCUUCGGGACAGCGUGUGCUACUUCCAUUUCCUACAUUGAUCACACGGAUUUUGCAAGAAAAUAGGGUAGACGUCACUUGUGACAAGUAUGACUAUGGCCUUGGACCGAUUGACGGAGUGACAUAGGCCAAGUCAGUGAGCACAUUGAAGACUUUUCAGCAGACAAAGGGACAGUCACGAGCAGCUUCUAGUUCAGCACCUCCACAUCGUGCAAAGCACAAGGGAUCCUCAAGCUCAGGGGGAGUGAUUACUGUCGAGUCACUUCACCGUGAGAAGCAUGCUAUAAAGAAAGGCUUCAAGCGAUUGGAAGAGGGGAUGAAGAGGAUAAUGGAGACACUUGGAUGUCGACGUGAUGAUGUUUUUCCUACUUAUACUAGGUCGACGUCUUCACAUCCACUUAUUCCACCGGCUACUAGUGCACCUGAUGCUGGUGGAGAUGGAGAUGGAGAUGGAGAUGAUGAUGAUGCUGAGGAGGACACCGAGUGAUAUUAUUUUCGAGCUUUAGUAUCUUUGUUUUAUCUUUUCUCCUAGGACGAUGUUCCGUUUAGUUUUGCUUUACUUGUCUUUGUUUUUGCUUUAGGUAUGUACCUAUGCCAUGACUACUUUUCUGGUUUCCAGUAUGUUUUCUCUCUAUAUGCUCUGUUUUGGCAAUUUUUUGACAAAAAGGGAGAGAACAUAGGUGGACAGGUAUUGAGCAAAGGGGAUGAAGAAUUGAAGAUCAAAGGAGAAGAAGAGAAGAACUUGAAGGUGUAAGAAUGACUAAUGUUUUUAAAUUUCUACAUCAUCUUUGGAUAAUUUGUUUUGCAGGAAAUCAAGACUUCAAGACUCCUAAUUUUGUCUAAGUCAUAGAGUUUGUUUUAGGGGUUUUAAGUUUUGAUGUUGUAAUUUUGAACUUCAUAUUGUAUUUGGAUUAUACGCGAAGGGUUCAAUGUUUUGGUAAUGAUGUUGAAUUUUGUUGUUCAUUUAUGAUGUAAUUUUUGAGUUUUUGAGUUUUGUCACGAAAUUGCCAAAGGGGGAGAUUGUUAAGUAUUAUGUGUUGGCAAGUUUCGUGAAUUGAGUCGGAGUCUUGAAAGAUCGAUGCAUAUUGUUGAAGAUCGAGGAAUCCAAGACUUCGAAGAAAUCAGAAAUAACUCACGAUAUGAAUCACGAUACUAAGGUAAGCUUUCAAUUCAUAAUAUGGUAAUUCAUACUUAGUUAUAGACAUUAGAAUCAUGAAAAUCAAAGUUUAGUGGAUUAGAAAAUGUUUUGGAACUUUUGAAACUCGAAAAUGUAGUUAUGCUGAAAACUGCAUAGGGUAUCGGUACUGCACUGACUUGGUACCGGUACUGAUCUGGUUCCGGUACAGCAUUGGCUUGUUAACCGGUUCUCAGUGCUUAAAAGUUUUCUGUGUCAUCUUUUGGUACCGGUACCAACUUGAUGCAGUACCGGUACGUAGUGUAAAAAUUUGAAAACUUUCUAUUCCGACUCUAAUUGAUCUAAGGUCUAUAAAUAAGCUAUAAGGGUUCUCUAACUCAUAGAACAUCAUGAGAAUACAUAUUUGAGAAACCCUAGAGUCUUGGAUUUCGUCCUAAACUUGUUUUCUACAAAGUAGCCUCUUUUAGGUCAAUUCGAGGUACUGAAAGUUGAGAUCUAUACGUCGAGUUGAUCUACGCUUCGCUUAGAGGUUCUUCUCUGGUUUUCAUUUGUACUCUAAGCGAAGGAUCACCAUAAUCAUGAUGUUCUUCAUGGACGACGUUGUGGAUUCGGCGUGAUCGAAGGCGGUUCGAGGAUACGGAUCGUGGGCUCGUGGAUUCAAGUGGCGUUCGUGGAUUCGGACGUGUGCGAGGCAUUCGUGGAUUCGAACGUGACGGCGUGGACAACCCGGAGGAUUGCGCGAGAUUCAUAGGAGGUUAAGAGAGGUCGAGUCUGUGGAGUCGGUAAUCACCUUGUAAUUUUUUCUCUUAGUGAAUUAUUUUUUCGCGUGUUGGUCUCGUG